RNAcentral lists this long non-coding RNA (287 nucleotides) under Mytilus galloprovincialis (Mediterranean mussel). Lineage: Eukaryota; Metazoa; Mollusca; Bivalvia; Mytilida; Mytilidae. The record is from RNAcentral.
GAGAAUGCAGGGGAAGGAAACUUGUCAAUUAUGUUUAUUUCUAAGCCAAAAUAAAAUGAGCCGCCGUAAAAUUAACCUUGGGUAAUAACAGUGCAUGUAAGGCUCGUCUCGGAGGGGUGUCUUUUUUUCUGUCUUCUUUUUUUUAGUUAUAUUUUUAAUAACUUACACUUUUUUCCAUUAUUCUCUUUCUUUCACUAUUCUUUAUUCCUUUUUUUUUCUUUGUCCUUUGUUCUCUAUUCUGUUAAUUCACAUCCAUACCCUCUUAUGUGUAUGUGGACUUACUGUAG